Molecule: ribosomal RNA, 253 nt
Filed under: uncultured bacterium
Lineage: Bacteria
Description: partial 16S ribosomal RNA
Rfam family: Bacterial small subunit ribosomal RNA
Source: RNAcentral
UACGUAGGGGGCAAGCGUUGUCCGGAUUUAUUGGGCGUAAAGCGCACGCAGGCGGUCUGUUAAGUUUGGAGUGACAGUUGGUGGCUUAACUGCCAAAGUGCUUCGAAAACUGAUCGACUUGAGGGCUUCAGAGGGACACGGAAUUCCGGGUGGAGUGGUGAAAUGCGUAGAGAUCCGGAGGAACACCGAAGGCGAAGGCAGUGUCCUGGGGAGUACCUGACGCUCAGGUGCGAAAGCCAGGGGAGCGAACGGG